This 1218-nucleotide ribosomal RNA is filed under the name Rossellomorea aquimaris. The record is from RNAcentral. Lineage: Bacteria; Bacillati; Bacillota; Bacilli; Caryophanales; Bacillaceae.
UUCAGCGCCGAUGGUAGUUGGGGGAUCUCCCCCUGUGAGAGUAGGACGUCGCCAGGCAAAUGUGAAGAAAGAGUAGCUCUUAGGGGCUGCUCUUUCUUUGUUUUCAUGUAAUGGAUUCUUGGUUCGAAGAACAAAUUGGUUAUAGGUGUUGGCUUUUUUGCGUUUUUAUUUGUUGGAUAAAUGUUAUUGAAGUCUGAUUCGUACAACUAAUCAGAAACGAAGGACUGAUUGUGAGUGAAACACGGAUAAUGUUUUUUUGGAUGAAGUUGGAGAAUGACGCAAUUCACAAGCAAAAUGACGCAAUAACGGAUGUAAACGACGCAAUAAAAAUAAAAAAGACGCAAUUCCGAUCUAUUUUGACGCAAUUAAUUUAUGCGAACCUAUAAUGCUCCAAUAAUUGUAGCCACAACCUAUAGUGUUGGCCCGAUUAUUACGGAUUUCUCAUAUGAAUAGGGCUAAAUCGUACUAUUUUAAUGAUAAAACCUCAUGAAAACACGUACUGAUUUUACUAUUAAACGGUCAAUCUAUUAGAAAGUUAAAUUAAAUAUCAAAAUUGCACCUCCAAAACAAACUAAAAUUAGCUUUUGCAUAAGAGUGACAACUCUCAUUCGCAAUUAAUUUUGACCAACUUCAGAUCUGGAACUAUCCUUAACUCUCAUUUAUUUUGUCAUGUUGCAGAAAAUAAGGGCAAUAUUCCCCCCUGGAAUACCUCAUCUAAACUUGGAGAUGCAUAGAUAACCUGAAAUUAAUAGUCAAGCAGAUAUGUUUACGAUUCUCUUCUAUGUUUAUAUGUAUAGUGUAGGUAUUCUAAACUGAACUCUCAGACAUUUAUAAAUUAUAAAAAAGGUAUUGUUAUUAAGUAUAUAUUUGUGAUAUUAUUGAUCUUCCGCCUUUUAUAAAGGAAUUCAAUUAAUAUCUCUUUUAGGCACUUUUAAGUGUUUAAUAACUUAGUAAAUAUAAAAGUUAAAAAACAUUUGAAAAGAAGUUGACUUCUGCGAAGUUAACUGGUAAAGUAUUAUUUGUUGCCACAAACGGACAACAGGACAACAAAUACACGACGAACUUGAUCAAAACUUCUUCAAAAAAGUUAUUGACACCAAGUUGAUGAUCGUGUAACAUAGUGAGGGUCGCUUCGAGAGAAGCACUUACACAUUGAACCUUGAAAACUGAACAAAACAAGACAAUACGUCAACGUUAAUUCUAGAUUUAUUUUUAAAG